Molecule: ribosomal RNA, 1520 nt
Filed under: Klebsiella aerogenes
Lineage: Bacteria; Pseudomonadati; Pseudomonadota; Gammaproteobacteria; Enterobacterales; Enterobacteriaceae
Also listed under: 1 other name
Description: bacterial SSU rRNA
Rfam family: Bacterial small subunit ribosomal RNA
Source: RNAcentral
AGAGUUUGAUCAUGGCUCAGAUUGAACGCUGGCGGCAGGCCUAACACAUGCAAGUCGAGCGGUAACACAGAGAGCUUGCUCUCGGGUGACGAGCGGCGGACGGGUGAGUAAUGUCUGGGAAACUGCCUGAUGGAGGGGGAUAACUACUGGAAACGGUAGCUAAUACCGCAUAACGUCGCAAGACCAAAGUGGGGGACCUUCGGGCCUCAUGCCAUCAGAUGUGCCCAGAUGGGAUUAGCUAGUAGGUGGGGUAAUGGCUCACCUAGGCGACGAUCCCUAGCUGGUCUGAGAGGAUGACCAGCCACACUGGAACUGAGACACGGUCCAGACUCCUACGGGAGGCAGCAGUGGGGAAUAUUGCACAAUGGGCGCAAGCCUGAUGCAGCCAUGCCGCGUGUAUGAAGAAGGCCUUCGGGUUGUAAAGUACUUUCAGCGAGGAGGAAGGCGUUAAGGUUAAUAACCUUGGCGAUUGACGUUACUCGCAGAAGAAGCACCGGCUAACUCCGUGCCAGCAGCCGCGGUAAUACGGAGGGUGCAAGCGUUAAUCGGAAUUACUGGGCGUAAAGCGCACGCAGGCGGUCUGUCAAGUCGGAUGUGAAAUCCCCGGGCUCAACCUGGGAACUGCAUUCGAAACUGGCAGGCUAGAGUCUUGUAGAGGGGGGUAGAAUUCCAGGUGUAGCGGUGAAAUGCGUAGAGAUCUGGAGGAAUACCGGUGGCGAAGGCGGCCCCCUGGACAAAGACUGACGCUCAGGUGCGAAAGCGUGGGGAGCAAACAGGAUUAGAUACCCUGGUAGUCCACGCCGUAAACGAUGUCGACUUGGAGGUUGUGCCCUUGAGGCGUGGCUUCCGGAGCUAACGCGUUAAGUCGACCGCCUGGGGAGUACGGCCGCAAGGUUAAAACUCAAAUGAAUUGACGGGGGCCCGCACAAGCGGUGGAGCAUGUGGUUUAAUUCGAUGCAACGCGAAGAACCUUACCUACUCUUGACAUCCAGAGAACUUAGCAGAGAUGCUUUGGUGCCUUCGGGAACUCUGAGACAGGUGCUGCAUGGCUGUCGUCAGCUCGUGUUGUGAAAUGUUGGGUUAAGUCCCGCAACGAGCGCAACCCUUAUCCUUUGUUGCCAGCGGUUAGGCCGGGAACUCAAAGGAGACUGCCAGUGAUAAACUGGAGGAAGGUGGGGAUGACGUCAAGUCAUCAUGGCCCUUACGAGUAGGGCUACACACGUGCUACAAUGGCAUAUACAAAGAGAAGCGACCUCGCGAGAGCAAGCGGACCUCAUAAAGUAUGUCGUAGUCCGGAUUGGAGUCUGCAACUCGACUCCAUGAAGUCGGAAUCGCUAGUAAUCGUAGAUCAGAAUGCUACGGUGAAUACGUUCCCGGGCCUUGUACACACCGCCCGUCACACCAUGGGAGUGGGUUGCAAAAGAAGUAGGUAGCUUAACCUUCGGGAGGGCGCUUACCACUUUGUGAUUCAUGACUGGGGUGAAGUCGUAACAAGGUAACCGUAGGGGAACCUGCGGUUG